CCCUAGCCCUGAUGGGAACGGCAUCCUGUUGUCCCGGGGUUCGGGACAACAGAUAUAGUGGACAGCAGGAUUAGCU
RNAcentral lists this small RNA (76 nucleotides) under Flavobacterium aquicola. RNAcentral's name for it is "Flavo-1 RNA". It matches the Rfam family "Flavo-1 RNA". The record is from RNAcentral. Lineage: Bacteria; Pseudomonadati; Bacteroidota; Flavobacteriia; Flavobacteriales; Flavobacteriaceae.